GUUUUAAUAAUUUAAUAUAAAAUAUUGGUCUUGUAAAUCAAAUAUAAGGAUAACUUUUAAAACU
This 64-nucleotide transfer RNA is filed under the name Colasposoma sp. EMHAU-15070314. Its description in RNAcentral is "tRNA-Thr". The record is from RNAcentral. Lineage: Eukaryota; Metazoa; Arthropoda; Insecta; Coleoptera; Chrysomelidae.